This is a long non-coding RNA of Anopheles merus, 363 nucleotides long. RefSeq lists it as uncharacterized. The transcript has 3 exons. The record is from RefSeq and is a predicted model, not a curated record. NCBI's taxonomy places the organism in Eukaryota, Metazoa, Arthropoda, Insecta, Diptera, Culicidae.
ACAUUGAGGUUUUAGUUGUGGUGCAUGCAGUAGUUUGGAUGCAUUUUUGGUCAUUUUUACAACGUUUGUUCAUAAUGUUGUGCUAAAAAAAGUUGAUGAAUAUCAAGAAAAGAUGGAAUUAUUGUGCAAUUAUCGAUUAUAACAAGAUCAGUGCCCAAAGUUCUACAGAAUCAGACCAUCCUCUUUUGCUUCUCAGAGAUACGUUGAAUCCAACGUCGCCAAGGAACUUAAAAUUCGCAUCGUUUAACUGCUCCUGCCAUUCCAAAAAACAAAUUGCGUACUCUUUCUUUGACUCAAUUUUUUGAGAAUUUUUUCUACGCAAUGGAAUCAGAUGAAUUCUUUUAAAAUUAAUAAUUGUUAGGG